UUAGUCGGUCUCGGAGCAAACGAAGUGAAGCAUGUUAUUUAAUACGACAAUACGCGUAAAACCUUACCAGAUCUUGCAUAUCUAGUUCUUUAUUCCUAUAUAGGAAAAAAGAAUGAGUAUAUUUUUAAUUAAUUUGAAAAAUAAUACGCAGAUACAGGUGUUGCAUGGCUGUCGUCA
Molecule: ribosomal RNA, 177 nt
Filed under: Pleurotus rattenburyi
Lineage: Eukaryota; Fungi; Basidiomycota; Agaricomycetes; Agaricales; Pleurotaceae
Description: partial small subunit ribosomal RNA
Source: RNAcentral